Molecule: ribosomal RNA, 448 nt
Filed under: uncultured bacterium
Lineage: Bacteria
Description: partial 16S ribosomal RNA
Rfam family: Bacterial small subunit ribosomal RNA
Source: RNAcentral
GUGCCAGAUCCUACGGGAGGCAGCAGUGGGGAAUAUUGCACAAUGGGGGAAACCCUGAUGCAGCGACGCCGCGUGAGCGAAGAAGUACCUCGGUAUGUAAAGCUCUAUCAGCAGGGAAGAAGAUGACGGUACCUGACCAAGAAGCUCCGGCUAAAUACGUGCCAGCAGCCGCGGUAAUACGUAUGGAGCAAGCGUUAUCCGGAUUUACUGGGUGUAAAGGGAGCGCAGGCGGCCUUGCAAGUCUGAUGUGAAAGGCCGGGGCCCAACCCCGGGACUGCUCUUGGAACUGCGCGGCUGGAGUGCAGGAGGGGCAGGCGGAAUUCCUGGUGUAGCGGUGAAAUGCGUAGAUAUCAGGAGGAACACCGGUGGCGAAGGCGGCCUGCUGGACUGCGACUGACGUUGAGGCCCGAAAGCGUGGGGAGCAAACAGGAUUAGUUACCCCUGUAAA